RNAcentral lists this ribosomal RNA (373 nucleotides) under uncultured bacterium. RNAcentral describes it as "bacterial SSU rRNA". It matches the Rfam family "Bacterial small subunit ribosomal RNA", at positions 524 to 898 of the family's 1533-position model. The record is from RNAcentral.
UACGAAGGGUGCUAGCGUUGUUCGGAAUCACUGGGCGUAAAGCGCGCGUAGGCGGCUUUUCAAGUCAGGGGUGAAAUCCCACAGCUUAACUGUGGAACUGCCUUUGAAACUGUAAAGCUGGAAUGCAAGAGGGGAUAGCGGAAUUGCUAAUGUAGAGGUGAAAUUCGUAGAUAUUAGCAGGAACACCGGUGGCGAAGGCGGCUAUCUGGAUUGCAAUUGACGCUGAGGCGCGAAAGCAUGGGGAUCAAACAGGAUUAGAUACCCUGGUAGUCCAUGCCAUAAACGAUGAGUGCUAGCCGUCGGGCCCGUAGGGUUCGGUGGCGCCGCUAACGCAUUAAGCACUCCGCCUGGGGAGUACGGUCGCAAGAUUAAA